ACACGCAUGACACACUGCAUAUCAAUAAGCGGAGGAAAAGAAACUAACAAGGAUUCCCCUAGUAACGGCGAGUGAAGCGGGAAGAGCUCAAAUUUGAAAUCUUCAAGGGUUUCCCUUGACGAAUUGUAGUUUAUAGAAGUGUUUUCUGUUAGUGGAGGUGGUAAAAGUUCUUUGGAAUAGGACAUCAUAGAGGGUGAGAAUCCCGUAUUUGAUCACUUUCUACUAACGUUGUGAUACACUUUCAAAGAGUCGGAUUGUUUGGGGAAUGCAGUCCAAAAUGGGUGGUAAAUUUCAUCUAAAGCUAAAUAUUGGCGAGAGACCGAUAGCGAACAAGUACCGUGAGGGAAAGAUGAAAAGAACUUUGAAAAGAGAGUUAAACAGUACGUGAAAUUGUCAAAAGGGAAGCGUUUGACACCAGUGUUGUUUUUUCCGAAAAUCAAUUAUGAAUGGCUUGAUUUUAAGUUUCAUGACCUUAAAAGCUUGUUUCUUAUUUUUCAUGUCUUUCGUAAUGCACUUUUCGGUUAACAAGUCAACAUCAAUUUCUUUUGUUGUAAAAGGUUAAGAGGAAGGUGGCUUUACUUUCGGGUAAAGUGUUUAUAGCCCUUUAACUCUGCAAUCGGAGAGAUUGAGGUCUGCAGCGUAGAUCCUUCGGGGUUAGAUACGUUUGUGCUAAGUUAUAGCUUUUCAUAGACAACUUGUUGACUAUGUUUAGUCUUGUAGCUUACUCGCUUAUGCUAUUUUACCUACGCUUAGGAUGUUGACUGAUAUGUAGUCGUA
RNAcentral lists this ribosomal RNA (777 nucleotides) under uncultured Neocallimastigales. RNAcentral describes it as "partial large subunit ribosomal RNA". It matches the Rfam family "Eukaryotic large subunit ribosomal RNA", at positions 23 to 644 of the family's 3401-position model. The record is from RNAcentral. Lineage: Eukaryota; Fungi; Neocallimastigomycota; Neocallimastigomycetes; Neocallimastigales.